Cinara cedri is the source of this 490-nucleotide non-coding RNA. NCBI's taxonomy places the organism in Eukaryota, Metazoa, Arthropoda, Insecta, Hemiptera, Aphididae. The record is from the annotation of a GenBank genome assembly.
AAAUAAAGUACCUCCCAUCUGGUGUACACUUGUUUUUUUAACAACUUUUUUUCGACAGUGUACAAUUUUCUCUACGGUCAUAAGUCGUAACAAUAAAACUGUCGUGAGUUACAAUGUCACAACGCAAUAUAAAAUAAAAAUACGUUUCUCGUUUGCUGACUUGACCUCAUCAUCGCGACCAGUGUCAGAACUGCAGCGCUAUUAACUGCUAUUGGUUGGUCACGGAAAUGCCAGAUAGAUUUAUAUGACUAGGAGAGAAGCAGAAUACUAUCUCAUCGAAUUUACAAAGUAUUUCAAGUCUCGAUUACUCGCAGAGUAAAAGUUCGUAUACACUAGACCAAGGUUGACAAUUUGGAAUCGGCUCAGAAAAAUCUGUACAUUCGUGGCCCGUUUCAAAGAAUAAACAGCCAGCAAUAAGUUAAAACUUGGUCAAACUAUAUGGAGAAUGUCAAACUCGGCAUAUCGGGAAUACCUCAUACAAGUGCAACUU